Molecule: ribosomal RNA, 573 nt
Filed under: uncultured bacterium
Lineage: Bacteria
Description: bacterial SSU rRNA
Rfam family: Bacterial small subunit ribosomal RNA
Source: RNAcentral
AGGCAACGAUCAGUAGCCGGCCUGAGAGGGUGAACGGCCACAUUGGGACUGAGACACGGCCCAAACUCCUACGGGAGGCAGCAGUGGGGAAUAUUGCACAAUGGGGGAAACCCUGAUGCAGCGACGCCGCGUGAGUGAAGAAGUAUUUCGGUAUGUAAAGCUCUAUCAGCAGGGAAGAAAUACUGACCAUAGGGUCAGCAGACGGUACUUGACUAAGAAGCCCCGGCUAACUACGUGCCAGCAGCCGCGGUAAUACGUAGGGGGCAAGCGUUAUCCGGAUUUACUGGGUGUAAAGGGAGCGUAGACGGCAGCGCAAGUCUGAAGUGAAAUGCCAGGGCUUAACCCUGGAACUGCUUUGGAAACUGUGCAGCUAGAGUGCAGGAGAGGUAAGUGGAAUUUCUAGUGUAGCGGUGAAAUGCGUAGAUAUUAGGAGGAACACCAGUGGCGAAGGCGGCUUACUGGACUGUAACUGACGUUGAGGCUCGAAAGCGUGGGGAGCAAACAGGAUUAGAUACCCUGGUAGUCCACGCUGUAAACGAUGAUUACUAGGUGUUGGGGGACCAAGGUUCUUCG